Molecule: long non-coding RNA, 202 nt
Organism: Hippocampus comes (tiger tail seahorse)
Lineage: Eukaryota; Metazoa; Chordata; Actinopteri; Syngnathiformes; Syngnathidae
Exons: 3
Source: RefSeq, a predicted model, not a curated record
GGUGUGGGGAGAGAGCCGCGAGUGGAUCACUCAAACAGAUGCAUUGCGAGUGCGGGCACGUUUGAAAAUGGACGGGUUGAAAAUGAGUCAGAUUACUGGACCAAAGGCACAGCUGCCAGACUCGGAGGACAUGUGGAAGGGACGCCAACCUGCAUUUGGACACGCAUGAUAGACAAUCACAAAAGCAGAGGAAAAAGUUGCA